GAGAUGUUUCUGACACAGCCAUAUGGAGGAAGACACACUUCUCCACUUGAGACGUAACCUGGAUUCACUGCCACAGACAGAGGUGUCAAAUGCUGCCAGGGGACCCAGUCUGAUGCAGUGUGAAUUACUGCACCCUUAGAUCUGCUGAUUUUAGGCCACUUUAGCAGGAAGAGUUUAGGCAAGUUGGUGGCUCUACACAAUUUUAGCAGGAAGGGUUGCAGUAUAAUGAUGGGGACAGAAGUCACACUGACUGGGAAGGCUUCAGAGGAGGAGAGGAAACAAGUGUCCCUCACAGAGACAUCAUGCAAAGCCUGAUUCAGAAUUCCCAAGAAAAGGCCUCAAAAACUAGUUUUCCUAGAGAUGGUCUAUGAAAUGAAAUGUCCAUGUUCUGCUUCUGGAGUUUUAAUCUAAACAAAGAAUAAAACUGAUUGUUCUACAUAACAGUCACCCCCAAGAAGUGUGUCACGUGUCAAAUGGCUCCCCGAGAAAUCACACUGCAGAAACAGAGAGGGACCCACAGAUGGCAUAUACCAGCUCCCAGGAAGUUCAUUCAUCUUGUCCCUAAUUCUUGCUAGAUAUAGUGCAGAGCAGAGAGUGGCAGGAAAAAGGCAUCCACCUGGUGACAGCCAGAGACCAGCAGUGGGCACUGUGUGGCAUCGCUCUGGGAGAGCAAGAUCUUUCCUUUUUCAUGGGCACAGGAAGCUACCUGCUCUGGUGAAUCUUAUAGUGUUAUGGGGGAGAGAAUAUAAAAACAUAAAUGAACGAUUAAAUAAUGCAAGUUCCACAGUAUCUGAAUGCUUUGAAGGGAAAGGAGCAGCUAUUUUAAAUAUAGGAAAGGCUCUCUGAUAAGGAGGCAUUUGAAUACAGAUUUGAAUAUUGAGAAAGUGCUUGUCCAGUACAGAGAGAGGACAGAGAGUGAGAAGACAAGGUUCCAGAGAGAGAGAACUUAAUGCAUGGGUGGAAUAUCAGGAUGGCCAGGAGGUCAGCAUCUUGGGCCUGAGGAGGAGGUGGGCAUAAGGACAGGACAGGGAGGACGAACAGCCAGCCUGGGAGAACAUAAAGAGUCAGAGGAUUUAAAAUAGGGAAUAUUGGAAUUUCUUGGUGGCUCAGCAAGCUAAGGAUCCCUUACUGUCACUGCUGUGGCUUGGACUGUUGCUGUGGUGCAGGGUUGAUCCCUGACUCGGGAAGUUCUGCAUGCUGUCAGUACAGCCAAAAUUAAUUAAUUAAUUAAUUAGGGAGUAUAAUGCUUGAUUUCCAGUAGUCACUCUGGCUACUAUGUGAAGAGAGGGAACAAGAAGAGAAGCAAAGAGACCCAGUCCAGAUGGAGAUGAUGAAGUUGUGGGGGAGGAUGGGUUGGCAGAAGCCCCAGGCUGCACAGAUGUGGCAGGAAACGGCACUCUUCAGGAUUCUCUGUGGAACGGGAAACAGGGUGUGGGGAAGCCAGGAGCCAAAGAGUCAAGAGUGGUAUUUCAGACAUUUCAUACUUGUAAUGCUCAACCCCCUAGUAGUUGUUGAAAAUAGGAAUCUGGCCAUUGGGAGAAGGGCUGGGGAGGGGAGGAGAGACUUGCACUAACCCUCUAUGAGGUUAUCAGAGUGCCUAUGACAUUGGAAAGCCCAGGAGGGAAGGCAGAGGAAGGAAGUGACCUGGAAAGGUUAGUGAGGAGGCUCCGUGCAUGAAGACCAGCACAGAGAGCUCCAUGCAGAGGCAGAGGAGGUAGGCAGGGGAGCAGCGGAGCUGAGGCUUCCAAGGCAGCCAGGUCCUGCAGGCUGUACUCCAGGCCCUGGCUGAGAAACACAAAGGAAACCACACCAGAGCCACAGACACAGCAGGAGGCCAUCGAGAGCUACAGGUGGGGUAGGCAUGGGUUAGGGAUGGAGAAAGGACCCCACUGGGAGAGACGAACUGGCUUUGAGGGCGAGAGUGGGGAGGUCCAGAAGGAGCAGCCCUGAAGCAGGAGCAGAGCUGGGUUGAUGCUGGGAGGAGAGCCAAGGGGAUGCCCUCUUGAAAACCCCCAGAUGUGAGACAGGAGGUCAUCUGCUGAGAACACAGGUGGGAAUGUAGAUCAGAGGUGAGAUCACAUCCAGUCCUCAGCUCAGGCAGCUUGGUUACCAUGGACAGCUCCUCCUCUCCUUGGCCCUGAAAUGUGGUGCUGUGGUUCCCAGGUGAGAAAAGAGGAGACCACAGGUAGGCUCUGGCCAGGGUCUGUAGGAUGUGGGAGUAGAUAUUAAAGAGCCUCGUGGAAAAGGUUCUCCAUGAGAGCGCUCUAUGCUGUGGCCCCUGCAGGGAAGAACUAACCCUGGAAGCUGGGGUGCAGGAGCUCUGGGAAAAGCCAUGCAAUCUGCUGUUUCCACUAGUGUGAGGGUGGGGCCGAGCAUAGCUCCACUUCAAUGGGCCCCUUAUGAUAAGAGCUUCUGGGUAAGUGGGAAGUGAUCAAGCUGCACACUCAAUGUGCCUGCUUUUACUUCACUGCAGGUAUGCUAUACCUAAAAGCAAAACAAACAAAGCAGAACAAACAAACAAACAAAACAGGGGAAUAGCCCCCAAAGGGAGAGAAGCACAGCAGAAAAGUACAAGCAUCUGGUGAUGAAGAAGUCUGAAAUGCCUCUGAGCCUGGCUCUCUGCAGUGUGGCUGGGGUCCUCUGAUGACAGGGCCGCUGGCCCAGAAGGAAACGCUGACACAGGCCAGCAAGGAGAUUUGCACAGGAAGCAUGCUUACCUUCCACGCAACACUCGGGAACUCCAACAAGGAAGAUGCAUGAGCUUGGGCAGCUUAUGAAACUCCUCCAAGCCUGUCUCUCCACAUGUAGAACAGGCUUCAGAACAUUCCUGCUCAGAGUCCUAAGGGCUCUCAUUGUGGUGAUUAAAUGAGGUGAUACACGCAAACUGCUGAGUCUAGUGUGCGAAAACACAAUAAUCCCCCAACAGCAACCUCUGAUUAUUCCCAUCACUGUAGUCAUGACAACCCCUGGGUUUGAAAUCACUCAAGCCUGCCGCUGGGUCAUAGAAAGUUUGUCAAAGACAAAUCUAAACUCAUGGAGAAAAGGAAGAUCGUAGAAGACAUAUCAGGAACAGAGAAAGGGGCCUGUCACCUGCCUCAAGAGGAGAGAAGACAUAACCCCAAAAAGCAGCUUGUGAAAAAUUGCAAAGCCCGACAGCAGUUAGGUAUUAAAAGAGAGAGAGAGAGACCUGAUUAAAUUUAGAUGAGCUGAAGUGUAGAGAAUGUAAAAGCAGAGUGGGCUGGAGGAGAUGAGGUGUGAGUGACCUGAAGGAGGAGGUGGACGUGACCUGGGGAGAGGCCAUCAGUGUCCAGGACCAGCCACUGAUGGACACAAGCAGGACAGAAUUUGGGGGACUGGGGCAGAAUGGUCUGAGGAAAGGCAGAAAAAAUAACUGAAGCUACGGCUUCUGGGCUACUGAGGGGAAUCAGGAAAACCAACCCGAGAAUACGCCACUUUGGCAUGUAGAUUAUUUUGAGCUGAAUACAGUCAAGACCCAGAAAAUUCAGAAAAAGCUUUUUACCUGCCCUUUAACCACCACCAAUUAGAAGGGGGUCUGUGUCAGGAAAAGACCUACUGCCGGAGAUGAUUUUUCUUCUGAGAGACUUAUCUGCAUGGCAGGUAAGUUUUAUUCACCAAACAUUUGUUUUUUCCACCUUCCAGUGAAAGCCCCCCCUCCUUCUGAAGCCCCUGAACCCUAUUCCUUUGCUCAGAUCAAGACAGUCAUGACGACUGGCUGCCUGCUUCAAAGUCUCAUAUCUCUGUGGGACUUCCAAAGAUAUGAAAUCCAAUUUGUUUUUCUCUCGUUAACCUAUCCUAUGUAACUGAACGACAAGACCAGCUGCAGAAUUUAGAAGAUAAGGAGGGAAAACUUUUUGUCCCCUGCAACGUCAGCUUGGAGCGUGGGAAGUCCUCAGAAGCCUCUCUAAGAAGAGGGAAGAGAAGAAGGUGACAGAUACAAUGGUCAGAGAAGAUUUUCCUGCAGCUGUGUAUGGGGUAUGCUGCCUCCCAGAAGACAGGCAAGAAAACCUACCUGCUGGAAUAAGACUCUCAUAAGGAUGCCCCAGGACAGAAAUAAGUCAUUAAGUGCCAAGACAGGAACCAGGAUGCCAAGACUUAUCAUUGGUAAUCACAUCAACCAAAUGGAGAAACAAUUGCUAUUUAUAAAUUCAAUUCUCUUACCAGUCCUGAGCACACAGAAUAUGCUCUUGAAAGCAAAAUGCUGCAGAAUGAGUUAAUGUAGGUGGGAUGGUGCACUGUCUGUGAUGCUCUGUAAUAUACUAACAGUGAGUGGAUUAUUCUGAGGUCUUCCUUGCCUGAAUCUCCUCUGCUGCCUUGUGUGCAAAAUGGGUUCCUUUGUCAGUAAACUAUUUAAGCAUCCACGGCCUGGAAUACAGGUAUGCUUAAUUGCCAAUCAUUUAUAAUAUACAGAAUGUGACUCUGACAUUCCAGAGACUGCUCUAAAGGUCCAGACUUGCUACAUCUUCCAGAUACUAAAAGCAAAAUACACAGGGAGCUAGCGGUAUGAAAAUAAACCAAACCAUGGUGACACACAGGCUGGUUUUCAAGCAGAAUGGGAAAGAGCCUUGCAGGAAUUCCCCAAACCCCCUAAUGCAAAUCCACCCAACUCAUGCUACACAGGAGCUGAUCGAUAAACCCUUAGAAGGAAACUGAAAACUCUCAUCUUCAAAACCGUGAUUGAUUUUUCUCCUAGGGCCCCAGAGGAUAUGAACUGCAGAAAAGCUUUCAGCAACUGAAGGCCACAGGCUGACCCUCCCACCCUGAAUGUCGGUGCAUGUGCGGAAGUGAGUGCUGGAGUGUGCGCUGGAGUGGAGGUGGAAACUGCCCCAGAAAUAAAAAGCUGCUAAAAUGCCCUGGAGAUGGUGCAAUGCUAUUUUGAGAGCAUUCGAGGAGCCCCUAGUCCAGACGUCUGCACCACAGUGCACCGGGCCCCUCUUUCCUUCUCCUGCGGACCUACCUUCCAGGUGUGGCACAUGGCUCCUCCUGCAUGUCCCCCACCAUUCCCUAUUGUGUAGCACGCUGACUCUAGAUCCUUUUCAACAUCUUUGCUCUGCACAGAGCUGGGCACCCGGAGCAGGCCUCAGGGAAUGUGAGUGGUGGGAAUGCAAGACAGACCACAGAGGGAGCACAGGAAGAACCCUGCUCAGCCCGGACUGCUCCACACCCCCACCAACAAGAAGGCCAACCUUUCCAGGAACUCAGGCUGGCAAGCUCCAUACACUAAAUGUGCUUGCUUCCAAUUUCACACUUUUAAUCAGGCAUGAAACCAUCCUCUGAAAAUCCAGGGCAUGGGGAGCCAAGCAAUUGUCGAUAAUUCUUCAAAUUGUUCAUACCACAUUUUAUUCACACUUUAAGUCCAUUUUGCAACAGUAGUAUGUAAACGCUAAAUUUAAAAUAUCCCAACCUUGAAUGAUUGACAAUGUUUGGUAACAUAUGUUUACUAUCUUUCGAACACUACGUUUUAAACUGCCUGAAGGAAUGAACCAAGGACCACAGAUUCCUAUACUGCAUCUUAGUAUCCUACACUGACAGCUGUUUCUAUCAUGAAGUACAUCAGGUUAGCAGUCUGCAUGUAGGUCUUCUCAGGAAGGUGAGUCCCUUUUUUAUUCCUUUUUUUUUUGUGGGGAAGGGCACAUCCUCAACAGAUGGAGGUUCCCUGGCUAGGAGUCAAAUCAGAGCUGCAGCUGCCAGCCUACACCACAGAGCCACAGCAACCCCGGAUCUGAGCCACAUCCUUGACCUACACCAAAGUUUGUAGCAACGCCAGAUGCUUAACCCACUGAGCAAGGCCAGGAUCAAACCACCAUCCUCAUCGAUACUAAUCAGAUUCUUAACCCGCUGAGCUACAACAGGAACUCCAGGAAAGUGAGUCUUGAUGACUAAUUUCACAAACCAGUUCAGGAAAUGAGGAUGGUCAGAAGGAGAAGGGAAGGAGUGAGAAGCAAAAUUCAACCCAAAAGUUAAUACCAUAAGCCACACUGGCAAUCCCCAAACCUAAUCAGAAUCUGCCUUCCAUCUGCCUAGGGUCAGCCAUCAUCAGUCAUAAUUUAUCUCCAGAGUUCCUGUUGUGGUGCAGCAGAAAGGAAUCUAGGAACCAUGAGGUUGUGGGUUCUAUCCAUGGCCUCGCUCAGUGGGUUAAGGAUCUGGUGUUGCCAUAAGCUGUGGUGUAGAUUGCAGACGUGCCUUGGAUCUGGCUUGGCUCUGGCUGUGGCAUAGGCUGGUGGCUACAGCUCCAAUUAGACCCCUAGCCUGGGAACCUCCAUGUGCCUCAGGUGCGGCCCUAAAAAGACAAAAAAAAAAAAAAAAAAG
This 6327-nucleotide long non-coding RNA is filed under the name Sus scrofa (pig). RNAcentral describes it as "lncRNA (ENSSSCG00015002070.1)". Lineage: Eukaryota; Metazoa; Chordata; Mammalia; Artiodactyla; Suidae. The record is from RNAcentral.